RNAcentral lists this ribosomal RNA (253 nucleotides) under uncultured bacterium. RNAcentral describes it as "partial 16S ribosomal RNA". It matches the Rfam family "Bacterial small subunit ribosomal RNA", at positions 524 to 776 of the family's 1533-position model. The record is from RNAcentral. RNAcentral also lists the same sequence under 1 other name.
GACAGAGGUGCCAAGCGUUAGGCGGAAUCACUGGGCUUAAAGCGUGUGUAGGCGGGCGGGCAAGUACCUUGUGAAAUCCCACGGCUCAACCGUGGAACGGCUGGGUAUACUGCCUGUCUUGAGCCAGCUAGGGGCGACCGGAACAGACGGUGGAGCGGUGAAAUGCGUAGAUAUCGUCUGGAACGCCAAAGGUGAAAACAGGUCGCUGGGGCUGAGCUGACGCUGAGACACGAAAGCCAGGGGAGCGAACGGG